GCCCUGAGCCGAUAGAUGAAGAUGCGAAGGUCAGACUUCUACUGUCUAGAAGGUUCCGAUAAAAAGUUUUCGUAUACUCAAUUCUUCUGCUGCUUAUUAUUAAUUUCAGCACUUUUAUUCAAAUAUAUUACUGUUUAUUUUUUAAAUUAACUUUAGCAUUAAAAAAUACUUUUCAACACCUAAUGUUUAUUAUCUACUCUAAAUCAGCUAAACCAAACGAGCUCCUUAUGUAUUGAACACAAUAGCUGAUAUGGCCACAAAAAAAGAGUGUACUUCACCGCUCUUAAGCGUGUAAAUGGAUCUGAAAUUAUAUUUUUCCUUCUUUUCUACAACAACAACUACCCAGUAUACUCCCACCAGGUGGGGUGUGGGGAUAUUUUUCCUUCUUUUCUAUUUAAACAAAAACCCCUUUUUUCUAAAGCUACCGUUUCACCACCUUAUUAACUCCAUAACUGUCGCUCCUCCGCCACUAGUUCCACCAUUCUCCUUCGCUCUUUUUUCUCCUCACACCAGCCUUCACCCUUUCCCUUCCUCCUCCCUGUCCCUUCCCUCCUUACAUGAAACGGAGAGGAAAGGAGAUUAAAAAGUAGAGACGGAGAACAAGUUGACCCAGGAGGUUGAAUUGAUGAGAUAUUAAAAAUGAUAAGAAAUUGGAUCAAAGAAAAUUGAUGAAGUAUGAGCUGACGGAGAAGACGAUGAUGGAAAAAUUUCCGACCAUGAAGCUCUGCAAAUUUUUCAUGAACUUCAAAUUAUUUUUUGUCUUCAGAUAAUUUUUAGUCAAUGGAAUCAACCUCAUACUCGUCAAUAUGCUGCAGAACUUGAAAGAAAUCAGAUUCCAUAGAAGACUCUCCCAAAUACUCGCGUUUAAACAGAUGGAAUGAAACCCAUUUCUCUUUCUCUUUUUUCUUUUUCUAGAUUUUCCACUUUUCUUUUUCUUACUUGUCUUUUGUUAGGUCAAUGGCAAGUCGCUUCACGCUUUGAAAUCCGUUUGGAGUUAUAAAAAAAAGUGUUUAAUAGGUAUACGUGUUUAAUAGGUAAUAGCCUAAGUUAAGGUGUCAAAAUAAAAAUUGGAGAUUUUCUACUAUUAUUUUUAGUAUGGAAUGAGUCAAUCAUGUUAUUGAACAAAAAUGAUAAUAGAAUUUUGAUUUUUG
This 1151-nucleotide long non-coding RNA is filed under the name Nicotiana benthamiana. Its description in RNAcentral is "long non-coding RNA (NBEN_LNC015551)". Lineage: Eukaryota; Viridiplantae; Streptophyta; Magnoliopsida; Solanales; Solanaceae. The record is from RNAcentral.